Molecule: long non-coding RNA, 214 nt
Filed under: Brassica napus (rape)
Lineage: Eukaryota; Viridiplantae; Streptophyta; Magnoliopsida; Brassicales; Brassicaceae
Description: long non-coding RNA (BNAP_LNC020837)
Source: RNAcentral
UUGAAGCUGUAUGAUUCUGUUUGUUGAUCAUCAGAUGAUGUUGUUCAUGGUUCCUCAAGAAGCCAAAGUACUUCAAGAAGAAGAAGAAGAGGAGUUGAUAUUGAUAGUCCUUCAUAGUAAAGUCAAGAUCUACACCAAAUAGCUUUGAAAGUUUAAGCUAUCUUUAGAUAUCAAACAUAUCUGCUUGGAUAGUCCUUCAUUUCGUUACGUGCUC